This 293-nucleotide ribosomal RNA is filed under the name uncultured bacterium. RNAcentral describes it as "partial 16S ribosomal RNA". It matches the Rfam family "Bacterial small subunit ribosomal RNA", at positions 775 to 1067 of the family's 1533-position model. The record is from RNAcentral.
GGAUUAGAUACCCUGGUAGUCCACGCCGUAAACGAUGUCUACUUGGAGGUUGUGGCCUUGAGCCGUGGCUUUCGGAGCUAACGCGUUAAGUAGACCGCCUGGGGAGUACGGUCGCAAGAUUAAAACUCAAAUGAAUUGACGGGGGCCCGCACAAGCGGUGGAGCAUGUGGUUUAAUUCGAUGCAACGCGAAGAACCUUACCUACUCUUGACAUCCAGAGAAUCCUGCGGAGACGUGGGAGUGCCUUCGGGAACUUUGAGACAGGUGCUGCAUGGCUGUCGUCAGCUCGUGUCG